GAGAAUUUAUUUUUUUCCCUUCUACUGAUAAAGAAGAAAAACCUUAUUAAUGAGGCCUCAGUGGUAGUUACACUGCUGCCACUACGCUGUGAGAGAGGUACACUUUUUUUUUUCCCGAGGAGGGUUUAACUGCUUUGUAGAUGCAUAACAAUAUUUCACAGAGAAAGCUUUAUUCAGCUGGAGCUCUUAAACCUCCUUUGUGAAAUGUUGUGGUAUUUUGUGAGAUACGUGGCCUUUGCUGUGCACGUGACGCUGGUAGGUUUCUAGGCAUGCAAGUUCAAGAGCUUUAUUUUCCAGAUAUCUUUUUUCAAUCAAUUAAGCUCAUUGGUAAGACUGGAUGCACUUCAGAAAGGCAGGAAAAGAAAAAUAACCACUAACUCAUCCUUCUGCAGAAGCAGCUGGACUUGCUGCUGUUGUCUGUGCAGAGUAGCUCGGAUGCUGGCUUUGGCUGCCUGCAGGUUCACAGCCCUGGAAUGUUUCUGGUGGGCUUUUCCUCCUUCAUUAGGAACAUUCUUGUGAUGCGGGGGAUUCCUAUCAAAACUAUCAUCACCCUCAUAACGCGAGUCAUUCCCCAGCCUUUGAAUACAGACAGCUGCCAAGCUACAGAAAACAUAGCUGUGCCUCUACAGAGCUCUUCACAGAGGGGUUUUCCCCCCCUCCUUAAAGUUGCAUUUUAACGUGCUUAUAACACCCAGCCCCUCUGGGGGAGUGAACAAAAGGCCUUUUAAAGGCAAUCUUUCAGAAUGCUCCAAUUGUGCCCUUAAUUGCAUCUAAGUACACGUGGGCUCAGCUCUGUGUGGACAUAGUUUUAGCUGUAGGUCGAUUUGAAGCAAGCCACACAUUUUAUAGCAAAGCAAUGCAUAAAAGCACACACAAGAGAAGAAAGCUUUAAUUUAGUCACAUUACUACUGUAAGUAAUAAUGCAUUGCAAGCAAUAAUCAGAUGCAAGAAGUUUAGAGCAGAUGUUCCCUUUACUUUGAUUCUUGAGGCAGUGCAGUAGCAAUUUCUUCCUUUGUAAGAGACAGAUGAUUCAGUGUUAGUAAAAAAAGAGUGUCAGGCAUGAAGUUCUUCCAGUUAAUAGCUGAGGAAUAAUUCACACUGUAAAAUGUGGGGCUGAACAAGGGCUUCCAGGUAUUUCCUCUCCCUGUACUAAGAGCAUUUUGAAAGAGACCUGGGGCUUAUCUUUGGGUUUACAGUAGUGGUUUAAAGUACUAUUUCUGAUAGAUUCUAUUCUUCCCCCACCCUCCACUCCUUACCCCUGGAAGAAUUUAGCUGCUUUCCAAAGAGGUGGGGAAUUGCAGACCACCCACCUCAGAGCCUCUUGCUCAGCAAGUGCUGGAGAAGAGGUUUGCUCCAGCCUGGGAAAACACCACCAACAGCCCAUGCAGGAAAAGGGAAAAGAGGCUCAGCAGGUUGUGCCACUGGCUAGGAGGAGCAAAGCUCAGCUCCAUGAUGCCUGGUGAUACCCCCUAGCUUUGAUGGCGACAACAUCCCAUCAAUCAAGGCAGGAUGUUGCCAUGAGCACACUGGGGCAGAGAGGGCAGUGCUGGGAGGAGAAGACGGCUGUUGAACGUGUGCUUCCCUCCCAACAACAUCAGCAGACCCAAGUAGGCCUUGGAAGUCUCAUGGAAAGUGAGGGGAGAAGUCCCAGGCUGCCUCUUGUCAGAGCAGUGUGGCAUUCCUCAGGAGCAGAGCCUAGGAAGGCUCUGCCAAAGAAAACCCAGAGAACUCUCAGUCACAGGAGGAACGCAGGUUGUAGCAGGGGAGCAAAUGGUGGCCCAGAGAGGCAGGGGAUGGUGAUAUGCAGCGUCAGGGGCCCCAAAAGGUCAACAUAUGCAGCCUCUAAGUGCUCACAAUGACAGCAAAUUGUGGGAAGCCAAGAGCUUCCCACCAUUUGCUCUCGUUCCUGUCACCCACCUGCAGCAGAGCUAAUGUUUCCCACCCCAGAGCUGCUGUCUGGGCAGUAGCUGAGGCAAAACAUCUCUGCAAUAAGGCCUCCUCCAUUCCCUUCCUUCAUAAUGCUGCAAUGUGCUGGGAGAAAGAGACGCAAGUUCCCCAAAACUCACAUUUUCCAAAACAUAAACCGUCAAGGAAAAGCCUUUGCCGGAAUAGCUUCUCACUCCUGGUCUCUUCUCAUCAGCUUCCCCCCUACCCACACAGAUCCCUCAGCAUCUCUUCCAGCUCGGCACAGCACCACAGGGACCCAGGAGAAGCGGGAAGCAAAAACACAUGAAAAUGAAGUAAUGAGACUAAUGCAUGAGAUGGAGAUGGCCAGAUGCGGGGAUAUCAUUCCUUGCUUCUAGGGCGAGAAUUGGCAUUAUGCUUAUGCAGAUGAACAGAGGAAGUUUGGACUGCUGAGACCAUUUGAUAAACUAAAGGAAAGAGAAGAAAGUAAAAGAAAAUUCUCAGGCUGAAGGUG
Molecule: long non-coding RNA, 2419 nt
Organism: Parus major (Great Tit)
Lineage: Eukaryota; Metazoa; Chordata; Aves; Passeriformes; Paridae
Exons: 3
Source: RefSeq, a predicted model, not a curated record